This 411-nucleotide long non-coding RNA is filed under the name Rhinopithecus bieti (black snub-nosed monkey). Its description in RNAcentral is "lncRNA (ENSRBIG00000046242.1)". The record is from RNAcentral. Lineage: Eukaryota; Metazoa; Chordata; Mammalia; Primates; Cercopithecidae.
GUGGGAGGUUGUUUUCCUCUCAUGUAGCAUUUUUCCAGUGUGUGAAAAUCUCUGGCCUCAAAGCACACUUGUGGGAACCCAUAAUUGAGUCUGAAAUCAUCCAACAGCAGCAGAAAGUUCUUACAGCCCUGAGAGCCUCAGGGAACCAGGAUGCUUACAGAACCUUCCUGAAAAACACGGGAUCUACAGCUAAAGCCAGAAAACCUCCAGAGACCAUCUGGACCAACCCUUCCUCUCACAGGCCAGCCUGUGGAUGAAUUUCUGCGUAAGUCAUGGAACAGAUGUAGGCCCAGCUAUUCCACUGAAGAUUUUCUAGCAUUUCCCCAGUCCCAGGACCAGCAUAUGGCAGGUAUUCCAUACAUGUUUGUUAAAUUAAUGAGUGAAGUAAUGAAUAAGUGAACAGCAUGUGUU